RNAcentral lists this long non-coding RNA (467 nucleotides) under Helianthus annuus (common sunflower). Its description in RNAcentral is "hypothetical non coding rna". Lineage: Eukaryota; Viridiplantae; Streptophyta; Magnoliopsida; Asterales; Asteraceae. The record is from RNAcentral.
UUAAUUCUUCCAAAUCACAAUCUUUUUGCUCAGGCUGUCUAGAUCGUUGACCCACCACUACCAGAUCCCUCAACGGCGACUUCUUAAUAUUUGUAGAAAUUCAAUUUGGUCUUGUGGAAGGAUUGUAAUUUAGGAGGUUAUAGUUGCAUCUGCAUGUCAUUUUGGUUGUUUCUGAAAUACUAGUUCUAGUUGUUGCUCUUGAUCUGAGGAGAUCAUAUUCUGGUUCUACAAUCGAUGCUUGGAUGGUGUGUUAAAAUGAUUGGUUUUUUCAUGUCAACAUUUUUGGGCUAAAAGUUGGAACUCUUAUGAAGAUUUCAUCACAACAACCACAAACUUGCAACAUGGUUCAAGAUACAGCUCUAGCUUUAUUAAGAAAUGAAUUCAAGAUGUUAAAGUUUUACACAUUUAUUCACUUACAAUUGUAGAACUUGUUUAUACUUUGAAGAAAUAUAUACCUUUGUGUUUGU